This 248-nucleotide long non-coding RNA is filed under the name Elaeis guineensis (African oil palm). RNAcentral's name for it is "long non-coding RNA (EGUI_LNC055878)". Lineage: Eukaryota; Viridiplantae; Streptophyta; Magnoliopsida; Arecales; Arecaceae. The record is from RNAcentral.
CCGGCCACUCCUUGUCGGUGACCAUAGCCGGAGGUAGUUGUGCGAAUGCCUCGCGAGAAGGCAUCAGAUGAGGAAAGGAGGAGUGGGUGCCGGAUAAGAUGACCGGAGGUGGAUCCGUUGAGCGCUCCUUUAAGAACAAGGGUACUGCGAAGACACAGCCCCUUCCUCUAGCGCCAAUCCUGUUGGUGCAAAAAUCCACUUGCGCCGGAGAAGCUGGAGUCGAGGAAGUCGCGGUCGCCGCCGGGACC